GAACCCCGUGGCGGUAGAGCGCUGCAGUCAUCCGAUUGAUUCUCCUGCUCCUCCACCUCCUUCACCCAACAAGUGUUGUGUUGCUCGCGGAGUGACUAGCUUACCGUUCUUUCAUUCUCUCUUGCGCGGAUCGUUUGGUUGCAUUCAUUCGUCGAUCGCAGGCUCAGAGUCCGAAUUCCAACAAUGGCAGCGGGUCACGGUGUUUCUGUGCAGAGGAUGGGCAGGUCGCGGAGGGCUGCCCCCAGACGAGGCCAGGUGAAGGCUGCCAUAGCCCUCUCCCUGCUGCAUUCCCUUUCGUCCGCUGUCCUGAGGACUCGCUCCGCGGUGUCCCGCUCCCGCCGGCCGUUCUCGUGGCACAGCAGCUGAGGCGCGGGCGAGGCGACCCGUGCGUGGUCGCGCUGAGCGAUGGUAAUUGGAAUUUGAAUGGAACGGCCACACCACAGGUAUGGCGAUCGCGGGGCGCUUCUCCGGCAGAGCGCACCCGAAAUGGGGACCCCGCCGCCUGUCGCGGCGCCAGCUCCAGCGCGUCGUGUUUCACGUCAUGUUUACACGUCGAGGUUUGCUCGGAACAGGAUGCGCGACGAGUCCGAGCGUCCGUCGGACGGGGUUCGACACAUUUUUCGUAGGCAUUCGAUGCAGGGAAGAGGGGAUUGGGGAUUGGUUGAUUGAGAACCAAGGAAGCGUGGUGCGCGACCCCAUGAGCAGGAGUACGUCCCGAUGAUGGGGGUGGGAGGGCCCCGGGAGGGGCUUCACUGUCGACUCGACGGUCGCCUUGUGUGCGUCACGCUUGCCGUGCUAGGUGUUUAGACAUAAUUGCUUGGCAUCAUCGUGCCAAGUUCGUGAGCAAGAUCGACCCGCAGUCGAUCAUUGAGUGUGCCAUACGCUGUACAUUGCUGUACGUAUUUUUGUGAAAUGAAAACACGGUCCGGGAUUUGAAUGCAAGAGACUUGGGUAUGGAUGAGGCAUAUUCCUGGUGUAUUGGAGUUUGAUGGUGGUUGCAGUAUUGGAGUCCGAUGUGCUGUGUCUUGCAUGAUCCGGGUCCCAUAUGGACAAGCACACUGCAUGUGGAUGGCAAGUCGUGUGGAUUGAGUCGCAUUUGAGUGAUCCGGAGUACAGACGCGUUAUUGGGGAGUUGAUGUUUAACGAGUUUGGUAUAGUAAUUAACAACAAACUGAGUCACAAUCAACUUUUUUUUUGGUUCACAGAGCCGAUGAAGGUUUUUGUUUACUUUGAAGUAGAAAUUUAAUGAACACUUGGUUUUCUUUUUCUUUUUCAAACCAGUUUGGAUAUCACAUAUUCUGAUGAGUCUCUUUGUUGAGUGCAAUCCUUUCCGAUGUUAGCAUGGUUUGGAUUGUCGUUUUUAUGUGAGUUAGAUCUUUUACAUUGUGCACAAAUAUGGUGUCUGUGUCUGGCCAGUAAAAUCAGUGAUUUUCUGUGGUUGGUAGGUCAAAUGGUGCCAAUAGAAAUGGAUUGGGGUAUUGGAUGUGGUUGCUAGGAUUUGUAAGUGUUAGAUGCAAUUGAUUGGAAGUAAAUGAUCCUUGUUGACUUUCUCAUUUACGUACUCAUUCCCCCCUCUCAUCUUCUAUAUAGAAAAGGGCCCCAAAUGAGCAAAUGCUUGUGAUGGAGGGAAUGUGGUGUAGGGCAAGAGCAGGAUCAGCGGACGGCUGGAAGCUAAUGUAGAGUGAGGAUGUUGGUGUUGCAUGUACUCCGCAUUCUCGAGGUUUACGGGUGAAGUGGUGGGAGGUGUAAAAGGCGCUGGAUUUCAUGCAGCCGAGGAUGAGGUGUAGUACGAAUGGUACAGUUUUGGACGGUAUCGAGUUCGACAGUGGAGGUUUGAAGUUGCUGUCAAUGUCUUGGGCUGUCGGGGCAAGCACGGGUAUGUGAGGGAAGGGGUUGACAUAGAAUUACAAGAUGUGACAUGAAAGUAGUGUUUUUUUAUUUCUCCAAUGGUGUAGUUACUGUCACAAGAUGUUGGAGCAGUCGCCGAUAUUUUGUUGGAAGAGUUUCGUUUGUGGAUCAUUUUCCUGCGCUAGUCGUCGUCAAUACAAAGUUUUGCCAUUUGGCGUUGCUCAACGCACGGGUGGUUACGGCCUGGCAAUUUUUCCUCACAUGUUUUCGAAACUUGUGAAGUGCUGGAAGAUAUUGAAACAAGUUCAAUCAACUUUUUAAUAGAAUUAGAAAUAACCCAAGAUUUUAUUUAAUUCGACAAUGCAAUAGUUCACUUUGCAAUGUUGAUGUCUUGAAAGAGCGUUAGAUCAUCCUCCCCUGUUUCUUCCAAUAGAAGGCAGCUAUAAAAGUUAAAAAUUAGUCUCAUUUGUAGUACAAUAAGAUGUUAUCCACUUAUUUUUAAUUUAGUCUAUCAUUUUUAGUAUAAUAUGAUGUGGAUUAUAUAUAAAUCAUUUUUCUUAGAUGUGAAUUGUCACCAAAUUGAUAUGUUUUGGAUAUCUUUUCUCAUUCAUGCUAUUUUUUUUUUUUGUAUGCAAGGUUGUUUUUUAUAGUAGAAAAGUAUUGUUUAGUGUAAUGUUUAUUAAUGUAUUCUAUGUCUUCAACAGUGUAUUAUGGGAUUAAUUACACAAUGAUGGUGAUUUCUUUUUAUAUUGUUUUACAAUUAGCAUAUAUGAAUAAAUUAAGAAUUUUGUGUUGUUUUAUUAUCAACUGAUUAAUCUUGUCAUUGAUUCCACGGCAUUAAAAAAUCUUAUUUGUACUAGUCAAGAGAUAAUAGACCACCAUAUAUUUUGCACAUGCAUAAAAUUAGCAACUCUUGGUUUUCCAAAAUACUCUCAAUUAAAGCCACAUUAAGUAAUUUCUAUUAAUUUUAUACUUUUUGAUUUAUAAAUUAAAAUACAACAAUUGUAACCAAUUUUUUUUUCUUUCUAAAAGAUGAUACUUGAUCUAUUUCAGUAUCAUGAAUUAAAGACAAAUCAUAUAUACAUAUAUAUAUAUAUAUAUAUAUAUAUAUUUAAUUUAAUUUAUUCAACUAAAUUGUAUUAAAUAGCUAUGGUUUACAAUUUGAUUAAUUUCUUUUGAUUUCUUUAUACAACUAGUGAAUAUGGGCUAUAAUAAUUGAAAAGAUGUAAUUUGUCUAUCUCCAAUAUUAUUUUUACUAUCUUACUUUUUAUUUAGCAUGUAUCAUUUUUAAUAAAAUUUGGAUCUAACAUUAUGAAUUUAUUUAUUUUAUUUAUUUAUUCUUGUCUCUUUAUCUUUAUUUAUCUUCUUGAUAGGCAUCUUUGUGAUUAGAGCUUUUCUAGUCUUAUCUAAUGGAUUCAACUUAAACUAUGUAUUUUAGUUCUAUAUUGGCAAUUACAAAAUUAUAUUUAAAAAAUGUGACAAAUUUAUUGAUAUCUUUUCAUUAAUUUUUUAAAAAUAUAUACAUAAAUUUAAAAAUUAAUAUUAAUAAUAUUAAUAAUAAUAAUCUAUUAAUUAGUCUUAUUCAUCUUUUUUCAAUCUUAAUUGUAUUGUUAGAUCUAUUCUUAAAGAUAGAAUAUUUUUUAAUUAUAUAUUUUUUUAUUUUAUUUUUUAAUACUAUUAUUUACUCUCUUUUAAAGAGAAUUAUAUCUUCUUAAAUCUCUUGCUUUUUAAUUUCUUAAAAUUUAAAACCUUGUUUUAUAUCUAAUCAUAUUUUUAAAUUUAUUUUUGCAUUGGAUUUAUUUUUAAAUUUAUUUUUCUAAUGAAGCUUUCGUAUAUGAUAUUUUUUCUUGUAUCUAUUUUUUAAUCAAGCCUCACAUCUAUUUAAAGCACUAUAUAGAAUUUUUUGAUAUUUUUUAAAAAUUUGUUGAUCAAUUAUCUCUUCUUUUUAUUUUUUUUGAGUUGACUAAGUAUUAUUUCAAUUGUAUUAUUUAAAGUUAUUAAUCAAUGUCUUUUUAAUUUAGAAAUAUAAUUUCUUCACAUUUUUGAAGAAAAAUUAUUAUUAAUCUUGCUUUUGGUGAAAUACUCCAAAUGUGUUUUUAAUUAGUCUAUUGAAUCUUUUAUUCAUAAUUUAGACUUUGUACAUUACCAUUGGCUCAUCUAACUUCCCAAAAACCUUAGAUUGCUUAAACAUUGUUUUUUAAUAUGCAAUAGAUUUGACUAUUUCUUUUAAAAAAAAUUAUAUUUCUUAAUGUAUAAUAUAAGUGUUUGUGGUACUUGAGCCAAAGAUACUUUGAUUUAGUCUUUUGUUAAUAAUAUUAGCUCAAAUUUCUAAAUCCAUAAAAAAUUUCACAUAUUUAUAGCUUCUAAAAGUAGUAGUACUUGCAUCUCUUAAAUCAUGGUAUAUUAUUUAAAUGCUUAUUUUAAUGUUGUUUUAAGGUUUUUAAGAGGUUUUGUCAUUAAAAAAAAAUCCAUAUCAAAAAUGUUUGACUUUUUGUUGCAACUAAUUAUUUAAGAAAAUUACAAGAACAUAAAAUUAUCUAUAUAUAUAUAUGUAUUAAAAUGACAUAAUUUACAUCAAAUACACAAAUUAGACAUGCACGUGAAACUCCAAAUAUAUAAAUUCUAAAUUUUAGCACUAAUUAAAAUCUCCAUUUGAUCCUUAAAUUACUAACAAAUUCAAAUUACUAUCUUUUAGAAGUCAAAGAUUACACGUAUUUUUUAUAUUCAACUUUUGAAUAAUAUAUUUUUAAAAUUAAUAUAAAAUAUUUUAAAAUAUUUCUAAUAAUAAGAAUAAAAUUUCAAAUAUAUGACAUAAAAUUUUAAAUUUAGAAAAGAUAUUUGUAAGUAAUAGUGAAAAAAAUAAAAAAAUAAAAAAAUAACUUAAAAAAAUAAUGUACUAUUACCUAAUUCUUUUGUUUUCUUAAAUGUUUUAUUCUUAAUAAUUUCUAAACUACAUAUCUUUUAAUAUAAAACUUUUAAAGGAUAAAAAUAAAUUAUAAUAAUAAGUAUUAUUUAAUUAUAAUAAAAAAUUAUUUAAAAUUAUUUUGAAAUAUAAAAGCUCAAAUCUUAAGCUUUGAUUUUGUAGGAUCAAAAAUCCUCUUCAUCUUAUUAUUUUAUUGUUGUCUUUUGUUGUAUUAUUAAAAAUAAUUCCUACUUUAUAACUAUUUUUUAUUAAAAUUUUAAAAAAAUCUGUCAUAGAUAUUUAUAUUUAUUCUAAUAAUAUUCUAUAUAAUAUGAAUAGGUAGAAGUACAUAAAAGUAUAUAAUUUUGAUAAUAUCUUAUAGAAAACCUUUUUAAAAGCUUUAUAGAUAUGUUUUCAUCUUUAUACAUGUCUAUAGAUGAUUGACAAGUUAAAAACUCAACCAACAAGCUGGCUACAUAUUGCACAUGUUGAUAACUUGUGGUAUAAGUUUGUAAUAGGGUAUAGAUAAGAUAACUAUAUAAAUACUUAGAACCACGGAAGUUCUUAGAAUUAGGAUUAGAUUAAUAGACUAGGUAGGAUCCAUUGUAGAACAUUCUAGAAAGGAUUUAAGGCAGUUAUCUAGAUAAGGCCUACCAUAGAACCUUCUAAAAGAAGAAUUUAAGGCAGUUAUCUAAGUAGGGCCCACUAUCUAAGAUCAUUCUAGAAAGUCUAAGGUGGUGGGACAAAGUAUAAAUAGGACUGAUCAAGGUCUUUUGAGGCAUCUAGUCAAGUAUGGCUUCGGAUCUUUUUUCUUAGUAAAGUUAGGUUCUUCAUCUUUUUAUUCAAAUUUGUUUUAUUUUUGUUUCUAUUUGCUCAAUUUUAUCUUUUAUAUCUUAUUUUUUUUAGUUUUGCUCAGUUUUAUUCUAGUUUGUUUUAUCCUAUUUUGUAAAGAAGCCUUAUGUUGUUGUAAAUUGAAAGGAUCUUGUUUUUUUUUAAUUAGUUUAGUCAUGUUUUAUUGGUACUAGAGUCAGUACUAGAUUGUUUAUUUUUGGUAGCAUGUUAAUAAUCAUCAUUUAGUCCAAGGUCAAUUGUUGUGGUCACACUAAGUAUAGUGUUGAGGCUAUCACAAGCUAUUCUUGAAAAGUCAAUCAGGAGAUGAAAAGGCAUUAUAAUAGUAAAGUCUAAUGGAGAAAUUAUAGUAUGAAAGAUAUGGCAGAGCAAUCCCAGAUUGAGACUCAAAUACACCAUCUCUUAGACCAGAUAGCUACUUUACAAGGUAGUUCAAGAUAGAUUUUGUGACUAGAAGGUGUUUGAGACCAAGUUUAGGAAUUGACUUUGGCCCAUGAAUGCAAAAAAGAUAGCAAGCGAUCAGUUGGCAAAUCUUACACAAGCUAGAUCAGUGCAAGAUUAUAUCUCUUGAUUCAAGUCUUUAUGUCUCUAAAUUGAAAAUAUUUUAGAGGCAAAGAUGAUGGAUCAAUUCCUUCAAGGUUUGAAAUGUGAAAUCCAGCGAGAGAUAGAACUAAGGGAUCCACAAACAUUUGAAGAGGCAAUUCAGAUUGUAGAGAGGGUUGAUGCUUUAGAUUUCAGAAAUUAUAGAGCAUGACCUAUAGCACAAAGUCUUAUGCUACUAUUUAAUAUUAUGGUACAACAACCAAUGCCAAUAGAGAUUGAUGCCUUACAAGGAUCAUUGACAUUACAAAGACGACAAAUAUUGGUGCAAAAAGGAUUAUAGUUCUAUUGUUGAGAACUAGGCCAUGAGAUCAGAGGUUGUCCAAAAUGUCAAAGUAUAAGUACUAGUAGGAUAAGGCAGAUUCACAGUCUCAAAAUUCAUUAAGCCAAUAAUGAAUCAGAAUAAGAAAACAAGACUCUCCAAUAAAGGCACCAAGAACCAAUAUUGGGAGUAACUAUUGUCUCUUAAAGACAAAUGGCAUAGCCUCAGAUAACUAUAAAAAAAGAGUCGAUUGGUGCUUCUAAUGAGACUAUUAAGAAGACAACUAUAUCGAAUGCUUGUAGAUUGUGAUUCUAUAGAAAAUUACAUCUCAAUUGAAAUUGCCAAUUGGCUUGGAAUUAAAAUCAAAGAAAUCAAAAGAAAAAGUAUAUAUCUUGUAGAUGACCAAGAGAUCGUAUUGAUUAAGACUUGUGUAGAAGAAAUCUUGAGAUUGAUGGACACUUACAUCUUAAGAGAGAGAUUCAAGGUAAUAAAGCUAAGGUAUGAUGUUACACUUGGUAUGCCAUGGUUGGAGAUGGAAAAUAAGCAAGUUGAUUGGGUAGCAAGGACAAUCUCUUUUAAAGAUGGAAGAUGCAAGGUAACUCUUUGUAUCUCUACAUCAAGUGAAGAGAAAAGAUAAUUUGUAAUUAAAAACUUAUUUGUAGGGACGACCUUUAUGAAGAAGCAACUACAAUGUAAGCAACCAAUAUAUAUGGUGGUUCCAAAUCUUGCGUCAGUGAUUAGAAAGACAAUUGAAGGGAUAAAAUAGAUAGAAUAAUUCAUAUGGGAAUAUGAGGAUGUCUUUCUAAAUGACUAAUCUAGUGGUGUACUUCCUGAUUGAUGUGCCUUCUUUCAAAUAGAACUAUUACUUGGAACCAAAUGAAGAAGUCAACCAAUUUAUUUCCUAGCACCAAAAGAACUUGAAGAGCUACGGAAGACAUUAGACAAACUCUUAGAAAAAGGCUUUAUUUGAGAAAGCACAUCACUAUAGAGAACACUUAUACUCUUUGCAUCUAAGAAAGAUGGUAGACUUUGUCUUUGCAUCAACUAUUGAGGUCUUAAUAAGCAGACUGUUAAGAAUGUAUAUCCACUUCCGCAUGUGGAUGAUCUUGACCAACUUUGAGAUAUAAUAAAUUAGAUCUUUUGAGUGGAUAUUGGCAAAUAUCUAUUACAAGAGAAUAUGUAAAAAAGAUGACAUCUUAUACGUGCUAUAGACAUUUCAAAUGGCUAGUUUUAUCCUUUGGACUCACGAAUGCUCCACCCUCUUUCAUGGAUCACAAGAAUAGAUUGUUUUAAGACCUUUUAGAUAAGUAUAUAGUUGUCUUCAUUGAUGAUAUCCUCGAAUAUAGUAAAAUCUUUGAAGAGCAUGAACAGCACUUAUGAGAGGUGCUAUACUAAUUGUAAGAUAGUUGCUUUUAUUGUAAGCAAUCAAAAUGUGAACUUUGGAAGUCAGAAGUCACCUUUUUGAAGCAUGAGGUGUCCUCUGAAGAUAUGCAUAUGGAGCACAAUAAGAUAAAAGUAAUAGAAGAUUGGCCAAUUCUCAAAGAUGCUUCUAAAGUUUGCUCAUUUUUAGGCCUUGCUUGAUACUAUCACCAUUUUGUUUAGCAAUUUGUUCACAUUGUUGUAUUAUUGACAAACCUAUUAGAGAAAGGUGCUUCAUUUGAAUGGAAACUAGAGCAGCAAAAUGCCUUUGACAAGUUGAAGGAAGCAUUCAUUAUUACUCUAAUAUUACAACCGUAUGAUUCUAUUUUCCUUUGUACGCUGUCAACGUAGAGAAAGUUUGCCUCAAGAAAGUAUUGGACUCCUGGCUACCACUAAUUAUUCAAUCAAGUCUUAGUAUAAGAAAGGCCAAGUUUUUAUAUAUAUCUAGCACAUUUAUGAGCAAUUAUACUAAAUAUAUAAGUCUUAAGUUUCCAAAAAUAUCCAAAAUAUGAUAAAAAAAAAAUUCUAAAUCCUUAUAUAUCCUUAUGGGAUAUUAUUCUUAAACUUCAAAAAUUCAUAUCUUCUAAUUGGACUAUUCAAACAAACUCAAAUUUUACACAAAAUUUUGAUGUACUUCUAACAACUAUCACAACAAAUUUCAACUAUAAAUUCGUUGCAAAACUUAAGAUAUCACCAAAAUCCUAACAGUAGCUUCAAACACUAGUUUUUAUACACCUACGUAUAAUUCUUUUUAUAUUUCACAAAUUAAGCACUCGAAUGCUAUAAAAUUUAUAUAUAUAUAUAUAUAUAUAUAUAUAUAUAUAUAUAGCUUCUUAAACAUAAUAAUCUAUCUUCUUCAAAAAAUUAGAGCCAAAAAUUCGUCCAAAAAUUCAAGAUAUGGCUCCAAUCAUUACUAUGAACAAAAUCACUUACUUACUGCCUUUGAUUUGGAUGCACUGACUUCAACUCUCUAUAACUUCUUCAUCCAAAUUCUAAAUUCAUCAAUAACAUAUGAAAGAUGUAGCUGAAAAAUUGAUCUCUCCAAUCCUAGUUGCCGAUCCUUCGUUGCUCUUUGUAAAUGUAUGUUAUAUCCUAAAGAAUAAUAGUAGGUAUGAAAUUCACACUUUAACUUCGAGUGCCAAUAAAUCCUUCAUAAAAACUCCAAAUCACAUAAAAUUUAUAUCCAAUCCAUAUCCAAAAACCUAAAAUUGAUGAUCUUAGCCUCCAAAGCUCGAAUGAUCUGAGAAUAAAAAUCCUAAUUCUUAAUAAAGCCUAUGACAGCCUCCUUAAAGUCCAUUGGGCAUGGCAUUUGAUCAAUAGGGAUGAAGUUCUCCAUUCCUUACCUUCAUUUGACCAUGCCUUACUUUCAUCCCUCUCAAUUAGCUUCCUACUAAUUUAGAUUUUCAUCUUUAGGCUUCCACCUUCUUCCAAGGCUUCAUACUAAAUAUUUAGGUCUCAUAUAUUUUUUUUAAUGCCAAAAUCAAAACAAGUAAAAAAAAAAAAAAAAAAAAAGUAAAUUUUCUUAUAUCAACUCUCUUUAAAUUAAUCUAUAAACCAUUCUAAUAUAUAGCAAGACUUAUAAACAUAUUACAUAUUUUAAUUAAUUUUUACAUACUAUAAGGAAUUACAGUAUCACAACGCUUGACAUUGAUGCUUCCGACUUUGCUUUUGGAGUAGCCCUUCAAUAAGACUUUGAUAGAAGCAGUCAACCUGUGGCAUAUGGAUCACGCAAGUUCAGAAGGAUAGAGCAUAAUUACUUUGUAUAUGAUUCGGAGUAAUUAGAGAUUGUAUACACUACAAAGAUGUGGUGAUACUAUCUAUUGUUAAAGCUAGUGAUAAUUUAGACUAACCAUUGGUCCUUGCUAAAUGAUUUGCAUCUAAAAAAUAUGAAAUCGUAGCAUCAUCGUUGAGAAAAACAAUUGCAGUUCUUUCAUAUCCAGCUUGAGUACAAGCAAAGGCGACAACAUAUUGUACCAAAUAGCUUAUUAUACAGACCAGACUUGUAAGACAAAUUAGAAGACAAGGCAAAAUUUGCUACCAUUAGUAGCAUCAUUUCAAAUCUAAUCAAAAAGAUAAAAUAGAAAGAAGCUAUACAACUGAAUGCUUAUUUUAAGAUGAUUAGCAAUCUGUUGAAGGUCGACGAUAUACAAUAUCAAGAUUACACUCUUAGUGAAGGCUUGUUCUAUUUCAAGCAAUAAAUUUAUGUAUCCAACAAUGCUAAACUCUAGAUGUGCAUAUUUCAGGAGCGACAUGACAUCCUAAUAUUUGGACAUCUGAAACAAAAAAAGAUCUCAAAAUAGAUUUGAAGGAUAUGUUUUUGGACAAGUUUAGAUUGUGAUGUUCAAGCCUUUGUAUGCUCUUGCAAAUCAUAUCAAUGUAAUAAAACAUGCAACGUAGCGUCUCCUAGACUAUUGCAAUCAAUUUCGCUAUCCACAGCGUGUUGAGAGUAGGUGACUAUGGAUCUCAUUAUAAGUUUGCCACGGAUGCCACAUAAUCAUAUUGUGGUUUCUAUCUUUGUGAAUCAAUUCUCGAAGCAACUUCAGUUGGCCAAGGUACACUUGGAUAUUGAUGCCCCAAUGCUUGCAUGAGUCUUCUUUGAUAUUGUCUUUUGUCACUAUAAAUUACCUCGUGUCAUUAUUUCAAAUUGAGAUUCAAUCUUCACAAAAAGAUUUUGACAAGCCUUGUUCAAGCUACUAGAUACAUGACUUGCCAUGUCUACAACCUUCUAUCCUCAAAUAGAUAGACAAAUAGAGUGUGCCAAUCGAACCUUAGAAGAUAUACUAUGGAUAUUUGUGGCAGUUCAUCAUAAUGAUUGAGAUGAAUAUUUUACAUCCUUGGAGUUUGUUUAUAAUGAUAGUAUUCAAACAAGUAUCAAUCAUUCACCAUUUUUUUUUAAUAUCGAUUAACAUUUGAUUAUGCCAACAAUUCUCUAUCGUCUCAUUGACACCAAUAACUUGACAAUGGAGGAAUUUAUACAAUGGCUUACAAUGGCCUUACAAUGGCCUUACAAGAGGCACAUGAGUACCUUGUUACUUCAUAGAAUUGACAGAAGUAGUAUGCAGAUAACCAUCGGCAACACAAGACUUUUAUUUUGCUCAUACCAUGCUUAGUCAGAAUUUUAUGAAGAUUUUUUAGAAUUUUAUUAGCAUAUUUUAGGAUUUAUUAGGAAUUUUUUAGUUUUUUUUAAGGAUUUUAUUAGAGCUACAUUAGAAUAUGAUUAAGAUUACUUAAAUUUUUUAUUUUUAAUAUUUCAAAUAGAUUCUUUAUUAUUUCUUUGAAAUUUUUAUUUUUAAUAUUUUUUUAGGAUUUUUUUUUUAGAUUUUUAAUUUUAGUAUUUAUUUAAUUUUUUAAUUUUUAUUAUUAUGAUUAAUUUAUGUUUUUUUAAAUAAUUUAUUUUAAGAUUUUUUUGGAUUUUAUUAAAAUUUUAUUAGAAUUAUUAAAGUUUAAUUGGAAUUUAUUUAGGAUUCUAUUAAACAUGUUAAAACUUUGUUGGUACAAUUUCCUAUUUAUCUUCUAUAAUUAGAUGCUUGGUAUAUUUUCAAGUAUGAAUUUACAUACUAUGAUAAUGGUAUGUUUUAAAUCUCUUACUAUGCAGAAAAGAACUUGUCAUUGUCAAGAAGUUUUGUGCUUAUAAUAUGAAGAUCUUGAGCAUACUUCUCAAAAUUGUUUAAAGAAACAAUGCAAUGACAAAAUAAAAAAUAUGGCUGUUAAAGAAGAUAAUAUGUUCAAAAAUAAUUUUUUCUAACUACAAUAGGAACCAUGCAAUUGGAAUCUUCUUCAAUACUUAGUAAAGGUCAUAUUUUUUCCUCAAAAUUCUCUUUUUAUUUUACGAUAAAUAUUUUUUAAGGACCUAAAAAUCACAAAGCCUUUAUUCUACUAUAUUUAAAAAUUUUAAUUUUUUUUUUCGAUGAAAAGUGUCUAAAAAGAUAUAACAUAUCUUUACUAGAGAAAACCAAACUUAUACAUGUAAAAGACAUAUAUGGUCGUUAGUGGUUUUUUAUAGAUAUAAUUUAUUAAAUUAUUCCUAUAAAAAUAGUAACUAAUGGUAAUAAUAGCUUUUUAAUAUUAAUAUUAUUAGAUUACCUUCUAAUCCAAUCAUUUUAGAUUUAUUGUUGAUAAAAAAAUAUAAUCUUUAGAUAGAUUGAAUUUCUUAUAGUCUUAAUUUUUUUCAAAGUACAACUAAGAGUUUUGUUAAAGAGUUAAAAUAUUAAAUUCUAAUAUAAUCAAAUUCUUGUUUUCUAGAUAUAAGAGCUUUUAUAUAUAUUAAAAAAUAAUUCAUAUUUUGUCAUUUAUGUCACAUCUAUUUAUGAUGGUAAAAAGACUUCAAGUAACAUUUCAAGCUAGUAUCAAGAUUAUGAAGACAUUUUUGAAAAGAAGAAUAAUCUUCCAAAGCGUAAUGUUUUUGAUUGCUCAAUAAGCUUUUAAGAAGGACCUCAAUUUUUAUUUUGAUUAAUCUAAAAUUUAUCAAGAAAUAUUUUGAUUAAAAAUAUAUUGAUAAGAACUUAAUCAAAUUUUUUAUACACCAUUCAAAAUAUCCAAUAAAAGCUUGUAUGAUAUUUUUGAAGAAAAAUAUGAAUGAAAGACUAUAUUUUAAAUUUAAUAUAGGCAUUUUGAAUAUAAUGUCAUACCUUUUAGACUUACAAAUGCAUUAGGUGCUUUUCAACAUCUUAUAAAUAAUAUUUUUUGAGAGUUUUUAGAUAAUUUUAUUAUUUAUUAUCUAAAAAAUACUUUAAUUUAUUCUAAAAGUAUAAAAAAAUCAUGAACUUCAUAUUUGUCAUGUGUUAUAAAAACUGAAAGAUGUAAGACUAUAUACCAUGAUAAAAAAUAAAAAUAAAAAUAAAAAUAUUUUAUACUACAAAAGUUGACUUCUUAAGAUGUAUCAUUUCAAAUGAUGGUCUUAUAAUAGAUCCUAAGAAAGUUCAAACUAUCAUGAAUUGAAAGAUUUUAAGAACCAUAAUAAAGAUCUAUUUUUUUAAAAAAAAUUAUCAAUUAUUACCAAAUUUUUAUCAAGAACUUUUUUUAAGUUCCAAUUUUAUUUACAUGUUUGAUUUGUAAAGAAAAAUUUGAGUGGAAUAAAGAAGCAAAAAUACCAUUUGAAGUUUUGAAGACAACUUUUAUUUUUGUUUCAAUCUUAUAUUACAUCAAUUUUAUUAAGGUAUUUUGUAUGAAAAUAGAUUUAUCAAAAUUUGUUUAAAGUGUGGUAUUGCCACAAAUAAGAAUAGAUAAAAUAAUCUAUCAAAUAGCUUUUUAUUCAAGAAAUUUUUUAACAUCUGAGAUCAACUAUAAGACUCAUCACAAAAAACUACUUGCAAUUAUAGAUUCAUUUAAAGAAUGGUGUCAAUAUCUAGAAGCUACUUUUUAUUGAGUUAUUAUUUAAAUAGAUUACAAGAACCUCAAGUAUUUUAUGUUAGCACAUGUUUUGAAUUAUUGAAAAGUGCAUAGAAAUAUAUUCUUGUUAAGAUUUCUAUACAAUAUCAUUUAUUGGCAAAGAUAAUAAUAAGGUUUGUUAGAUGAAUUUUUUAGACAUUCUUAUCUUACAUCAAAAAAUAUAUAAUUUUUGAUUAAUGAAAAGGCCAUAUGACCUUUUUGAACAUAUAUGACUUUUUUCAACCAUUAUCUAUACCAAAACAAUAAGUCUUUUAUUUCUAUGGAUUUUAUCAUAGAUCUACUUAUUUUAAGUUUUUAUGAUCUCAUAUUUAUAAUAGCAGAUUAUUUUAUUAAGAUGUUAUAUUUUCAACUAUAUACAAAAAUUAUUGCAAGUGAAAAAAUAUUUAAACUUUUUCUUCAUAAUAUUAAUUGAUAAUAUAAAUUACAAAUGAAUACUAUAUUUAAUAGAGAGAUUCAAUUUGUGUCAAGGUUUUGGAAAAUCCUUUUGAAGAUAUUAAAAGUAAAUAUAAAAUUAUAUUAUUAUUAUUAUUAUUAUAUUGAUAGAUAAAAAAAAAUUAUAAAAUAAUAUCUAAAAUAUACCAUUAAAUAUCAUUAAGAUUAUUAGACAACUAUUUUGCUAUUAGAAAAGUUUACUUAUAAUAAUAAGAUAUAUUUUUUUACUCAAUGAAUUUCUUUUUUACUAAGUAUAAUUAUCAUCUACAACUUGAUACCUUUUACUUCUAAUAAGUUGAUAAUCUUUUGGUAGAAGAUUUAAAAAAUUAUUUAUCAAAACUACAUACAACAAUAAAAACAUAAUUAGAGGAAAUACAAAAACAAAAAAUGAACAAUAUAAAUGCCUAUUGCAAAGAAAAAUUUUAAUUUUACAUUAGAAACAAGAUAUAAUUACUUUUUUGUAAUAAUAAGACUAAUUGCCUUUGUGAUAAGUUGAAUUAUUAUAGAUUUAGACCAUUUUUCAUUUGUAAAUACAUUAAUCCAAUUGCUUAUCAAUUACACCUAUCAAAAUCUAUAAAGAUCUAUCUCAUCUUCUAUAUGUUUCUUCUUGAGUCAUAAAAAAAUAUUAAAUAUCUUGAAAAGAAGAAAAUUUCCACCUCUUUUUAUAUAAGUAGAUAAUAAUCAAAAAAUAAAAUUAAAGUACUUGUUUUAAGUUACAUAAGAGUAUAUUAAGUUUUCGGUUCUUUGAUAUUCAUAUCCUUUAGAGUUUAAUAAAAGUGCUCAUUCAUUGUUCUUAUCUUAAUUAUAGAAGUAAGUUGACCACCUCAUUUUCAUUUUUGUAUUUUGAAGGUUGCAGACUACUCACCUUCAAUCUAACAUUUCAACUUCUUGAUAUAAUUUUUUCCUUAAAAAGAAUAGACUAUCUUUGCAAAAAAUUUCAUUUGAUAUUAGAGCUUGUGGAUUAUUCUCAUCUAAAUUAACUUAUAGAUUUGUUUGAAUUGUCUGUAGAAGUAAAAAUUAUAGAUGCUACUCUCAAAAAAAAUAAGAAUAGAUUUGCAACCAUUAUAUAUCUUCAGAAGUUUUUUAACACUCUUAAGAUAGAGAUCUCACAUAUUCUUAACAUCAACUAUAGAUAUAGUAUUCCAACACCUAUAGAAGAAGUCAAUAAUAAAAUUAAAAGUCUAUAUCAAGAAGUUGUGCAAUUGAAAAAAAUAAAUAGAUCAAAUUCAUAAUUAAAUCCAAGAAGUCUUACUACUAUAAGUAUGAAGGAGAUAAGGGUAAGUAUAUCAAAGAAGUUUUAGGAUUUAUAUAACAAAUAAAGAUCUAUCUAAUGUUGUAUUAUUCUUAAUAUCUUAAUAGAUUUAUUCAAAUUGGAUUCAUUUAAAUAAUUCUCUUUGAAAGUGUUCUUUCUUGAUUUGUACUUUUUAUGAAAAAAGAUUCACGGCUAUUCUAUGAUUUGAAUUUAUUUUUAGAAGUAUUUAUGGCUACAUUUGGAAAAAAUCAUCAAGAAAGAAUAUCAAAGACUAAGCUCAUAUCUCUGAAUAGAAUCACAUUUAGUUACCAUAUACUGUUGAAUUUUAAAAUCUUACUUGUAAUGUGGAUUGGAAUGAUAAAGCACUUAUCAAUUAAUUUUCAUAUAGAUUGAAAGAUAAUAUCAAACAUUUAUUAUUGAUAAUUUGUCAAAGAUAUGAAUCUUGAAAAAAGAAAAUCCUCAACAUAGUCUUGUAUCAUUGAAAGAAACUAAAAAGGUACUAAAAGAUGAUAUAAUAUUCAACUAGAAUAGCUAUUGAUAAAAAUAAGAAGACUAAAAAGAUGUGAAACAAGAUUAAGGACUAGAAAGGCAUUAAUAAGAAUGAAGAAGGCUUCACUCUUGCUUUCAUAUAUAUAUAUAUAUAUAUAUAUAUAUAUAUAUAUAUAUAUAUUCUCUAACCAAAAACUACGUGACAAUAUUCUAUAGGACCUCCAAUAUUUGUCGACUUUACUAGCCACAUGUCUUAACUUGCAAAGCAAGUUAUCUAUGUAUGCACUAUAUAAUUAGCUUAUUUCACAAGCUUCUUCAUGGAGUUAACUUAUUCUACAAGCUAUCAACACGUGGUUAAUUUAUUGGCUAAGUUUCUAACCUACAAUCACAUAUAAAGUCAAAACUACAUCUAUAAAGCUUCUAAGAAGCUUUUCUAGAAGACUUUAUGAAAUUAAUUUAUAUUUACCUACUUCUCCCUAAUCAUAUAAGUAACUAUUGAGAUUAUGUAUAUAUUCAUGAUAUUAAUCAUCCUUCUAGAGAUGAGUUUCAUGAGAAGUGGUUAUCAUCUUUCAUGGAUCUUUACAAUUCUUCAGCUUGGUUUUGAUGGAUGUCGUUAAUAAAAGGCUUCAAACUUCUUUGUUGAAUUUACAAGAUUCUUUACUGGUUCUUGUGUGUAUUUGCUAAUAUCAUAUCUAUGCCAAUGAAUAAGAUAUUCUAACCUAUUUUUGUACUGCCUUGAAUUUAAGACUUCUUCUACUUCGAACUCUUGAUUAUUAUCCACUUCUAUAGAAAGUGGUGGCAUUUGCCUUCUUCUUGAGAUAUUAACUAUCUUAUAUGACUAAAAAAAGGGAUAUGUGAAAUACAAGGUGGAUCUUUAUAAACUUCGGUAGAUGUAAUCGAUAAGCAAUAGAAUUGAUUUGUUUACAAAUAAGAAAAGUUUCCAGCCUACGAUAGUCCAACUUAUCACAAGGACAAGUAGUCUUGAUAUUGUUAUGAAGUAAUCAUAUCUUGUCACCUACAUUGAAUUAUAGUUGCUCCUUAUAAUAGGCAUCGACAUAGGUCUUUUUUCAUUCUUGAGCUCCUUAAAUUAUGUCUUCAUUGUUGCAUGUAGCUCUAACAAAUAAUUUGCUAAAUCUUUUGCUAUAGGAUUAUCAACUUUUCAAAAGUCAAAAGCAUUAAGUCAUGGAUGAUAACCUUAAUUGGCAAAGAAAGAUAUUUAUUGAAUAGAAGAAUGUAUCAAAUUAUUAUAUGUAAACUCUAUCAAUGGCAAAAAAGUUGUCCAAUCAUUUUGAUGUUAAUUGAUGGUACACCUCAAAUACUGCUCCAAAACUUAAUUCAUCCAUUCUGUUUGCUCAUCAAUUUGAAGAUAAAAAGCUGAAGAGAGCUUUAUAUCCACUUUUAGAAUCUUUAAUAGGAUUCUCCAAAAUUUUGAUAUGAAUUGAGUCUCCUUAUUCAAUAUAAUAUUCUUUGACAAUCCAUGAUAGCAAUAGAUAUUGUCAAUGAAAAGCUUAGUUAUUUCUUCUCUUAAAAUAGAUUUUAUACAUAUUACAAAAUAUGCCAUUUUUGUGAAGCAAUCUAUAAUUAUGAAUAUAGCAUCAUAUGAAUUUGAACUUGAUAGAUCUAUAAUGAAAUCCAUAGAGAUGGAAGAUCAUGAUUGUUUGAAUAUAAGCAAUGGUUGGAAAAAUCUAUAGCAUUGAUGACGAGGAGUUUUUGAUCUUGAACAAAUGUCACAUAAUUAGACAAAGUCUUUUACUACUUUUUACAUUUACAACGACCAAAAAUCUCUAAAUAUAAUCUCUAAAGCUUUAUUGUGUCCAAAAUAUUCUAUUCUUAGAAAGUCAUGAUGUGCUUGAAGAAUACGUAAAUGUGCUUAUUCUUUUAGAACAUAUAAGCAUUUUUCAAAGUAGAGUAGGUUGUUUUUGAAUCCAAACUUUGAAAUACCAUAAGACUUAGAAGAAAGAUUCUUGAUAUCAUGAACAAGAGAAUCAAAGGACAUACUUGAUUGAAUUUGUUUUAGAAAGGUCAAAUCAACAGUUAAUGUUGAUUUCAUUACUCGAAGAUAAAAAUACUUUGACUUCAAGAGGAUUAUUUUUUAUUGAUCAAAAGAUACGUCUCCUUCUUUUUGUGCAUGGUAAGAAUGUCUAAAAAGAACAUCUCAUAAACCUUCUUGUUUUUCAAGUCAAUGUCAAGGACAUACACUAGGAAGUUGUAGAAGUUUCUAGAAGGUUCUAAAAAAGCUUUGUAAUUUAUAGAAGCUACUUGAAAAGUUUUUAAGCUUGUGGAAGUUGCUUGAAAAGCUUCUUAGCUCAUGGAAGCUGCUUGAGAAGCUUCUUAACUUAUAGAAACUGCUUGAGAAGCUUCCAAGUUUUAGGAAGCUACUUAUAAAGCUUCCUAGCUUGUAGUGUAUAUAGGAGCUAAGAUUGAGGAGAUCUUUAGUCUCGACAACACAUCUCUUAGAGCUCUAGCUCACCUCUCUAGUCUUGUUCUUACACUCAUCUGAUUAAUCUAGUUCUUUUCAAUUCUUCUUGAGCUUCUUGUUUAGAUUUCUACUUAGUAUUCUAAAUUCGUAACAGUUUGUUGAGACUGCACUCGUCUUUCAUAUGAAAGCUACUUCUUUCUUGUUAGAAUGUGGAUUAUCCCUCUACUUGAAGAUGUUGGUAUUUUAUAGGUUGCGGAUUACCCUCCUCUAAACUGAUAUUUCUUCUAUUAUAAUAUUAGAGUCUUAUCUUUCUUGGAGAGAGUGAAUUAUCCCUCUUCUUGAAGGUUUUAAGCUAUUUUAGAGGUUGCGGAGUACCCUCCUCUAAACCAAUACUACCUUCUUGUAGAGUCAUCUCUUUCCUUCUCUUAGAAUGGUCGGAGGUAAGGAUAUUAGUAUGACUAAAAGUUUGGAGUCCAAGUUGGAUGCCAUUAUGAAUGCUCUUGCUACAUUAUCACAGAGAAUUAUAGAGAUUGAAGGAGUUGUUGCAAGACUUCAUAAUGAUGGAGCAUCCAAAAUGGCACAAUUGAGGAUUUACUAGCGUUAAGUUUCAAUACCAAGAGAAGCAGCUUUGCCUCUAGUUCAACAAUGACCGUUGGUCUUACGAUGAAAAGAGUCUCAAAUUAGCCUUCUAGACAAGUUUGAAGGUACGCAUUCCAAGUUUUAAGGUUUUGACAAUCGAAUUAGAUUGGUAAUAGCUUUACAGCUCGAAAGCUAUCCGAUGAAGAAGUCACGUUGUCGUACUGUAAUUACUUACAGUAUGUAAAAAUUAGUGAAAAUAUGUAAUAUGUUUAUAAGUCUUAAUGUGAGUUAGAAUAGUUAGUAUGUUAAUUUAAAAUCAAUUGAAAUAAGAAAAAUUAUUUGGAAGUUAAUCUAGUUUGAUUAUAGAUUUUAAAUUAUAUAGGAUUUAGAUAGUUAGUAUAAAGAUUAAGGGAAGGGAGGAGUUAAAAGAUGAAAAUAUAACUAAAAGGAGGCAUAUUGGGAAGGAUGAAAGUAAGGCAUGGUUGGAUGAAGGCAAGGGGUGAAGAACUUCAUCCCUAUUGGUCGAAUACCAUGCCCAAUGGGCUUUGAGGAGGCUGCCCGAGGCCAUAUUAGAGAUUAGGGUUCCUCUUUCAAGGCCAUUUGAGCUUUUGAGGCUAGGGUCAGAAGGUUUAGGGUUUUGGGUAUAAUUUGGGUGAAGAUUUUGUGUGAUUUCGAGUUUUUAUGGGAAAGAUAUGAAUGUUCAAAGAUAAGGUGUCAAUUUCAUACCUACUGUCACUUCUUUUGGGCAUCACAUACGAAUACGGAGAGCAACGGAAGAUCGGCGACUGGAUUUGGAGGGAGAAUUUUCUCGGCUACACAUUCUACUUACUAUAUAGUGAAUUCUAAGAUUAGGUGAAGGAUUUAUGAGGCGUUGAAGACAGCACUUGUAAUUUGAAGGCAGUAAGUAUAUCGUUUUGUUGCUAGUUAUGGGUGAAGCCAUAUCUUGAGUUUCUAGACGAAUUUUUGGCUCAAAAUUUCCAAAAGUGUGUGUAAUUGGGUUAAAAAGCUUUAAAUCAAAGUUUCAUAGUAUUUGAAUAAUUACUUUGUGAGAUAUGAAGGAAGUUGUACAUGGGUGUAAAAAAGCUAGGAUUUGAAGCUACAGUUAGGGUUUUCAAGAUAUCACAAGAUCCAAGACGAAUUUACAGUUGAAUUUUGGUGUGGUAGUUGCUAGAGAUAUAUCAGUACUCCAUGUAAAAUUUGGAGUUGUUUAGACGGUUAGAUCGUAAGUUAUGAGCUGUUGAACUUCGGAAAAAAUUCCUCAUAAGGAUAUAUAAGUUUUUUAUAACACCUUAUCAAGUAUUUUGGUGUUCUUUGGAUUUUAAGGCUUGUAUAUUGAUGUAAUUGCUCCAAAAGAGAGGAGUUUAUAUAUAUAAAAUUGUUACCCUUAUAUUUCAAACUCGAUUGAGUAUUUAGUGACAGCCAGAAGCCCAGCGCUUUCUUGAGGCAAACUCUCUCUACCCCGACAACGUAUUGGACUGGUUGGAACUUUGCUCACAAGACAAGUUCUAUCAUGGUUUGCUCUUUUGUUUGAAAAAAGAUCAUCAAUUUUGAAUAACUUCGAAACUUUUUUAGAAGCGUUUGUGGAAACAUUUGGCAAACAUGACAAGGCAUGAUAGGCUACAACAAAGAUCCGAUCGCUACGACAAGGGAUACGCUCUGUGUCAGUCUAUGCAUUAGAUAUCAAACAAUUAGCGUGCAACAUCAACAGGGACGAGGAAGCAUUGAUGAGUCAAUUUUAUUGGGGCUUGAGGGACGAUGUGAAGGAUUUGUUAUUAUCUCUUUCCGAUUUGCAAAUGCUCAACAAAGCCAUUAGCUAAGCCGUUGUCGUGUUAUAACACGAGUAUACUGUGAAAAUAUAAAGAAAGAGGACUUUUAUUAAUAUUUAGUUACCUCGAAUAUUGGGGGCAACGACUAAUUCCAAUGCAAAUACUGGGAGGCCAGGGUCAGUCACCCCAUUACAAUCAGCCUGAGCAUACUGAAAUGCUCUGUUCGAUUCCAAUAACGGGAGUUAGCAUAAAAGGAAAAGGACCAAUUCAACAACGGGUGAGUCUGGUUCGAAGAGCCAAUUGGAUUCAAUUUCAAGACAUCCAAUCUAGGUCUUACUAUGGGCCUCUCAGCCAAUCUGACGCGAAGGACCAAUUUGACCCAGUUACAGAAACAUCUAGGUCUUACUACGGGCCUCUUAGCCAAUAUGAGACUUGAAUUGGUCGGGCGACUCAAUGUGGUCCCGAUUACGGGGUUUUGAUUCUGUUUCAGGCUGUCCUGUUCUGUGUGCCGUUUCAAGGAACGUUGUUUUCGGUAAAAGGAUCUCUUAAAGGUAAAAACAGAGGAAAAUGCUCUGGUGGCGAGAGCCAAUUUCAGAUCCAAGCUCUAACGGGGGGAGCAAAUUUCGGAUCCAAGACGGAAGAUUGAAGAAAUUCAGAAUUAAGGUUAAGAAAUGGAGGGAGAAGGAAUAAGUUUUUUUGGGAUUUUGAAGGAUCGAGAGAGCUAGCUUCAUGCUUCGGGCGGGAAAAAAAGACAGCGAAUUGGAUAUUUUUUUUCUUCAUAGGAUUUUGGGAAGAUUGAGGCAAUCAUUGUUGAAGUUAGUGUUGUAAUGGUGAAUCGAGAUUUUUAAUGAAGUGGCUUUGAUUCCUCUUGAUUGUUUUGUGAAAUCGAGUUAUGUCUGUGAUUAAGAAUUAGAAGGGUGUCUAUAGGAUUGAAUAUGCAGAGUGAAUGAAAUUUAUUGGGUUAAUCUAACGAGACAGUUAGCGGAUACAAGAUCAUGAGUAUAAAGCGGUACCGAUGUCAUACUACGUGCUUUCCUGCUCGAGAACGCGCCUGACGUUUGGCUGUAGAAGGUACUAUGAAGAUUCGCCAAUAGUCAAGCAGUCUAUCAGUUUUUGACUGUUAGAAUAUAAACGACUGCAAGAAUAUACCGUAAAUCUAUACGGAUGCCCCUUCGACUGCUCGCCGAAGUCCUUUUUGUCCCGGCCGGUAGAUCUCUAAACGAUACAGAGAACCCCGAACAAUCCAAACUGUUAAUCUUCAGUACCGCUUUGUACUUACAAUCUUAUAUCUACUGACUGUCUUGUUAGAUUAACCCAAUAAAUUUCUUUCACUUCGCAUACUCAAUCCUAUAGACACAAUUUUAAUUCUUUCAAUCUCAGAUGUAACUCGAUUUCACAAAACAGUCAAGAGUAAUCAAACCCACUUCAUUAAAAAAAUCCCGAUUCACCAUUACAACACUAACUUCAGCAACGAUUGCCUAAGUCUUCCCAAAAUCCUAUGAAGAAGAAAAACCCAAUUCUUCGUCUUUUCUUCCCCGACCUAAAGCAUGAAGCUCCUCUCCAAUCUCCCCAAAAAAUCUCCCCACCCCCCCCUAAACCUUAUCCUCUGAAUUUCUUCAAUCUUCCGUCUUCGAUCCGAAAUUGGCUCCCCUCGUCAGAGCUUAGAUCCAAAAUUGGCUCCCGCCAUCAAAGCUUUCUUCUCCGUUUUUACCUUUAAGAGAUCCAUUUACCGAAAACAACGUUCUCUGAAACGGCACAGAGAAUAGGACAGUCUGAAAUAGAAUCGAAACCCCGUACUCGGGUCUACAUUGAGUUGCCCAACCAAUUCAGGUCUCAUAUUGGGUAAGAUGCCCAUAGUAACCUGGAUGUUCACGUAAUUGGGUCGAAUUGGUCCUCGCGUCAGAUUGGCUGAGGCCCAUAGUAAGACCUGGAUUUUCCCGUAAUUACACUGUAUUGGGUUGCCAGACCAAUGCAGGUCUCAUAUUAGAUAAGAGGACCCGGAUUGGAUUCUUGAAAUUGGAUCCAAUUGGCUCUUCGAACCAGGCUCACCCGUCGCGUGAAUUGGUCCUUUCCCUUCCUGCUGAUUCCCGUUAUUGGAAUCGAAUGGAGCAUUUCAAUAUCCCCCGGCUGACUGUAAUGGGGUGACUGAACCUGACCACUCAGUAUUUGCACUGGAGUUGGUCGUUGCUCCCAAUAUUCGAGGUAACUGAAUAUUAAUAAAAUUCCCUUUUCUUUAUAUUUUCACGGUAUACUCGUGUUACAACACGACAUCCACCCCUUUUAAACCUGUGCAUCCUCCGAUAUGCACCAAUUUAUCCAAUUGCUGUUUGAUUCAGAAUAUAUCCUCUACGUCUUUGCCCAAUUCGUCUUCGUCACCUUCAUUAUCCAAAUCACUUUCAUCUUCUUGCUGCUGAAUCUCUAUACCUUCAUUAAGGUCUUCCAUAUUCAUCUCUGCGUGUCUUCGUUUAAAUAUUUUUACUCGCUUUCCUGCAAUUGGUAUUUUCAAUUUUGUACCAUCUAACUCCCAUAAUGAGUAAGUCGCAUUAUCAUGAACAGUUGUUACCACAUAUGGUCCAAACCAACGUUUUGAAAAUUUCCGCAAAGUACUAUGUUGAUUAUCCAGACUAUUGUCAUAAACAAGUACCCAGUCACCUUUCUCGAUUGCUUUUGGUCUCAAUCGAUGUUGCUUAUCGAAUCGCACCUUGUUUUGUAACCUUGCUCUUUUUAACCUUUCCAAUGCUAUCUGCACAUCUUCCAUUCUUUGCUCCAAUUGUCCAAUCCUAAUAGCCAGAAGUUCUUUUCUUGUCAAUCCAUCUUCCCAUGGUAGCAUACUCCAAGUAAGUACCUUUUCUUCAAUCAACAUAAUUGGUUUUUGACCUGUCAUAAGUUCUACUGGCAUAUAUCCUAUCACCGAACUAUGUGUUGUUCGAUCAGCCCAUAAUGCAAAUGACAAAAACCGUGGCCACUCUUUAACUUUUCCAUUACAAGCUUUAACUAAUGCUUUCACAAUCGGUGGGUGACCGUGUUCGCUUUUUACAUUCCCUUCUCGAUUAUAAGCAGUAGUCAAUGAUAGUUUAACUCCACAUCUUUCAAAGAACUUACGAGCUUCUUGUGCAUUUAAUUCUCCACGAUCUGCAGUGAUUUUUCUUACGCAUCCGUAGUGGCAAAUGACAUCUUCAAGCAAAAACCUACAAAUCUCCUCUGUAGAUUUUGUCCUCAAUGCUCUUCCUUCUACUUGAUUUGAUAAAUCUUCACGAGCUAAAACCAAAUAUCUCAUCUUCCAUAACCCAACCGGCAUAAUAACCAAAUCAACAACCCAUUUAAAAUGAAUAGCCAGAGGAUACGUAGGAUGAAGACCAUCUCGAUGUCGGAUAUUAGAAUAUGAUUGACAGAUUUCACAUGACUCUACAAAUGAGAGCACAUCUUGAUACAUAUUUUUCUAUCAAUAUCGUUCCUUGAAUUUAGCAAAAGUAGCCCAGAUUCCUCUAUGCCCUACCCAUAAACUAUCAUGAAACUCCUUUAAUAAUUUUAGUUUUUCUUCCUUUUUGCCUAUCACUCGUUGUGGCAUCCCAAUUCCUUUCUUCGGUCACUUCCAUAAGAAUCCAUCUCAAAGUAAAAAUCCAUAUGCUUUUUUUCUUAUUUAUUUGAAUUUUUCUGUAGACCAAUUCCCUUGCUUAGUCAAGGUAUUCAAGUAAUGACUAAUAUCCAAUAAUUCUCCUUCAUAAGAUUCUUCAAGAAAUAGCUUGUCUUCUCUGUUGAGAUUUGAUAUUGAAUAGAAUUUCAAUCCGACGUCAUCAAUGUCUUCAACCAUUUCGUCCUCCCUCUCGUAUCUUGCUCGAGAUAGCAUAUCUGCUACUAAAUUGUCCUUCCUAGUAAUAUGCUUAAAUUUUGGAUUUAGUGACUUAAUAUAAGCAAUCCAUCUCAACAUUGCAAUAUGUGGCGUUGAACAGUUAAUAAUCAUUCCAAGCAAUGGCAAGCAAUCUGUUUCAAUUACUACAACUGCCCCAAUCAAAUAGUCCUUUUCAGCUUUCAUAGCCGAAACGACUCCCCAAAGUUCUCUUUUGACUUGCCAAUAUGCACGCUGACGAAUACUUAAAACUUUAGCCCCAAAUCGAACAGCAAAUCUACUCCCAUUUGAAUCAUCUUGACCCACAGCCCAUCCAAUGGCAAUUGGACUAGCGUCCAUAGUAAGAAUCACUGGUCUAUUGCACUUAUAAUCAACCUUCCUCAAUAUUGGAGGUGACAUCAAUAAUUUCUUCAAUCUUUGCAUUGCCUGAAUAUGCCUUUCUUCCCAUUUAAAUCGGUAGCCCUUGCGUAACAGUUCAUAUAAUGGAUCCGCUAUGUGAGCAAAAUGAAGGAUCCUGAUUCGAUGAAAUACACAUGCACCCAAAAACCUGCGAACUACUGUUAAAAAAUCACAAUCCUCUUUCAUCCUUCCAAUUGCAUCAACUUUAGUCAGAUCUGGUUUUCUUCUGUAAGAUCCACAUAAAUGUCCAACAAUUACAACCUCUCAUACUCCAAAUACGGACUUCAUACCCGAUAAUGUAAGAUGAACUUCUCCAAGCCGAGUUAAAAUCUUUUCACAAUCUUGUAUAUGAUCAACAACAUAUUUGCGACACCUCCUCGUAUCUAAAGUUUCAUCCUUGUCUCCUUCUCUAUACCCUUUUAUAGGAACAUCAUCCAGAAAAGGCAUAGUCUUUUCCGGAAUAAAAUCUCUCAAUACCUUAUUCAUCCCAUUCAUCAUAUGCGCAAUUGAGUUGGUCGCGCCUUGAGGAAGAGUGCACAUUCUAACCAAUCCAAGUGGUGUCCUCAUUGUUGUCAUAUCUCUACUUCCUUCGGUAAGUUGAAAUUGAUCAUAACCUGAAUACAAGUCACCCAUUGAAUAGAUCGCCCUUCCAGCAAACGCCUCAGCAAAUUCAUCCACAAUAGGUCCAAUUCCUGCAUUUCUGACAGUUACUGCAUUCACCGGUUGCAUAUCUUGAAUAAACUGUAGUGACCCAUUCUUCUUAGGUACCGUAAACCAUUGACUAGAAUACGGCGCAAAUGAAGGUUUCAAUAUUUUCAUCUUUAUCUUUUCUUUUAAUAGUUCCACCAAUUUAGGUAAAUGUGCGCUCGAUACUGGAAUCGGUCUUAGAUUCCAAGGUACAUGUGGUACAAUGAAGAUAACCAUAGGCGUUACAAUAUUUGGAUCCACACACCCAAUUUCAUGAGAUUCGAAGGCAAACGAUCUACCUUGUUUAGCAAACAUUCUUUUGAAGCAAGUAAUUUCUUCUGGUAAUAAAGAACCAUCAGAACCAAUCUUCAAUUCUUCAAAAGUCUCUCUAGUAAACUGGUGUCCAAUACUCAUUGAAUCUCUUAAAUUUGCUUCAUUUGAUGCUUCUCCCAUUUGUUCUUUAGAAUCCUCUCGUAAUGGUCCGGCAACAGGCUUUACCUUCUUAUCUGCCGUUUUAUAUCUCAUCUCUACAGUGACUUUUGGUGCUUGAAAAGAUUCAAGUAUAGUAUAAAUCUCUCUUGAAUGAAUCUCAACAAUCUUAUCAUUAUCCCCUAACCCAAUAGAUGUAAUCAAUUCCAAUGAAUCUUCCAGUCCAUUUUCUUCAUAAACACCUAAAAUCCUCUCAUCAUCUUGCAAUGUACCUAACUUGCAUAAUUGUCCUUCAAUAUCAUAUAAUCUUUUUCUUUCUUUUCUUUUAAAAUCAUCAACUUUCUUAUACAUAAUAUUUCCAUUCUCCAAUAUACCAAUAAAACUCGCAUCAAAGGUAUCUUCAUCUUGCGAGAGUACCUCCUCUUUUGUACCUCCAUAAUCUUGCUUUACAGUGGUACCUCCCCAAAAUCCUUAAAUCCUUCAACAAUCUUUGGCAAUGGUUUCUCCUUCAACCUAUCUCGAUUCCGUUCAUGGUUAGGAGGUACUGUUAGAAAUUGUACAGCUUUCCUUCCAUGUUCGCUACGUACCCUUGCAUAAGCAGAACCAUCGUCAAGUACCUUUGUUUCCAUCCGUGUUGCCGUGAUAUAAGGUUGUCCUAAAACCAACGGAUAAGACGUUGUAUCUUGAACAAAGAAAUGUUGCUCCGUGGCAACAUCCCCAAUCCAAAUUUUGACAUUUAAACAAGCUCCAUAUAAUUCGCCCCGUGUGUUAUUAGUCGCUCGAAUUGCCCAUCCAUGUUCCAUAUCAAUUGGCCAUUUUUGCUUCUUAUCAAGAUCUUUAGACAUAAGAUUUAUUUCAGAACCAUGGUCGACUAAAGCAACUAUUGGUUCUUCUAUAUCUCCUACUUUCACCAAUACCUCAGUAGUUGCCCUUGCCCAAUGUUUUCGAGUAUAAUGGCUCAAAGUUUCCAUUUUCUUGUCACUAGAAUCUUCAAAACGUACUCGCUGAUUAUACCCAUUCUUUUCAUUUGUUGGUUGCUUGUAACUAAUAUCAACCUCUUCUUCAUCUUUAUAUAUUCUUGCAUCAAUAGCUUGACUCAUUCCAGUUUUGCCCAUUAAUUGCCUCUUUCGCUUAAUGCUAUCAAUGAUGACAUUAUGAAACUCCUUCUUUACAAUUCCCAAGACUUCUUUCAAUGUGAAUUCUACCUUAGCAUUUAAUAUACGUUCUUCCAACAUCCCUUUCAAAUUUGUUGCCGCUUCAAUGUCAGAAAGUAGCUUAUAAGCAAUUGAUUUGCCCUUAUCUUUUGUCUCCUUUGUUUUUUCUCUCAAUGAUGCUGAGGUAUCCUUUACAGGCAAUUCUUGUGAAGCUGCCUCCUGAGCCUUGUCUCCUCGAGUUUGCCUCUUAGAAGAAUUUCCUUUUCUAGUAUCAUCAAAAUUUUCUCGUCUCUUUUCUUCCAUCAAAGCUUCAUGUUGGCUCUUACCAAUAUAUGCAUGAAUUGAAAGAGACUCAACAGGAUCCUCCCAACCUGUUCUUCCUCGUAUUGUAGCUGCAGUUCUCAAUAACGCUUCUCGAGGUAAUUUCCCUUCUUGCAUUGUAGAAAUGGCAGAAGCCCAAAACUCACUAGUUUCCGUACUUCCACCAAUUUCAUCAUCUACUCUAGCACCAUAACUUGCACUUUCUCCUGCUGUUGAUUCAUGCUCUUUUAGGUAAUCUUGAACCAAUGCUCUCAUUCCUCCCUUGCCAAAAUUGGUUUGAAGAAGAUCCUCUCUAUUUUUCAAUGCUAUCUUUCCAUCUUUCCAGCAAAUAAUUCCCUGCCGUAUCAUAUUAUUAAAUUCAUUGCAAUCUUUUCUAGUGUGUGAAGCAUCAUCACACCAAAUGCAUCUUUGUACAUAUCCUUGUUUUGAAACAUUCUUCGAAUUGUUUAUAGAAGUAUUCUCUUCAAGUCUUGCCAAUUUGAUUUGAAGAUCUCGUAUUCCUCGUAUAAUUUCUUCCAUUUCCAUAUCUGCUUUCUUUGAUAAGGAUGUCGAAGGUUGAACUGUAGGCAUUGUUGGUGGUGUUGUACGUACUAGAGCUUUGGGUGCUUGUAAUGUUUUCGGAAUAUUGCUCCUAUCCUUCCUCCUUUCUCUUUUUGUAAGCAACCCCACCACAUCUUCAAUGUCCUUCCACUUUGUUGUCAAUCCUUCAUCUUCUUCUUUGUCUUCAAGAAGAAGUUCUAAUUUUCCUUGUAAUUCUCCAUCAACAGCUUGAAGAAAUAGAUCAACUUUGUUCAGCUCCAAUGUCAAUUUUUCUACCUUCGACAAUUGAGAGUACUGCCUCUCAAAUUCCUUUAGUAACUCUGUUGCUUACAAAUUCUUGUUGGGCCGUUCAAUCCAUUCCAGAAACAGCUUCUUAGUAAUGCGAUCAGCAUCUUCCAAGAAAUAUUCGUCUUUCAAUGCAUGUAAAAAAACCUCCCAUGAAUUCCCAUAAUGAUUUGUAAUCGAUGUAAUGUAGUCUCUUAUCUCCUGUAUCGUCGCAAGUCCAAAUAGUGCAACCAUUUUCUUCUCAGAAACCCGAUUUAAUUCCAUUUCAUGAACAUAAUAUCUUAAAUACCUUGAAAUAUUCGUUCCAUGAAAUUGAUCAAUUUUAUUGACCACUGCUUGCAAUGCUUUGGUUGCCAAAGCUUCCUUUCAAUCAUUACUUUGUUGUUGCUGCAUUGAUAAUGAGAAGGCUUGAAACAUACUAGCAAUAGACGGAUCCAUGUGCAUACCUUGUCCUUUAGAAGACUCCCUACCAGAAACUCCUCCCAAAAAUCCUUCAAAAUUUUUAUUUUCGUUUUCCAUAAAAUAAAGAUAAAAUCAACCGAAAUCCAAUACCUUCCACCUCAAGCUUUCACGUCCAGUUCACCACUUUUGUCAUAUUACGUGCUUUCCUGCUCGAGAACGCGCCGGGCGUCUAGCUGUAGAAGGUAGUAUGGAGAUUUGCCAAUAGUCAAGCAGUCUAUCAGUUUUUGACUGUUAGAAUAUAAACGACUGCAAGAAUACACCGUAAAUCUAUACGGAUGCCCCUUCGACUACUCGCCGAAGUCCUUUUUAUCCCGGCCGGUAGGUCUCUAAACGUUACAGAGAACCCCGAACAACCCAAACUGUUAAUCUUCGGUAUCGGUGUCCUAUUACAUGCUUUCCUGCUCGAGAUCGUGCCGCGCGUCUAGCUAUAGAAGGUAGUAUGGAGAUUCACCAAUAGUCAAGCAGUCUAUCAGUUUUUGACUGCUGGAAUAUAAACGACUGCAAGAAUACACCGUAAAUCUAUACGGAUGCCCUUCGACUGCUUGUUGAAGUCCUUUUUGCCCCAUUCGGUAGGUCUCUAGACGUUACAAAGAACCCCGAACAACCCAAUCUGCUAAUCUCCGAUACCGCUUUGUACUUACGAUCUUGUAUCCACUGACUAUCUUGUUAGAUUAACCCAAUAAAUUUCAUUCAGUCCGCAUACUCAAUCCUAUAGACACUCUUUUAAUUCUUCAAUCACAGACAUAACUCGAUUUCACAAAACAGUCAAGAGUAAUCAAACCCACUUCAUUAAAAAAUCUCGAUUCACCAUUACAACACUGACUUCAGCAAUGAUUGCCUCAGUCUUCCCAAAACUCUAUGAAGAAGAAAAAUCCAAUUCUCCGUCUUUUCUUCCCCGACCCGAAGCAUGAAGCUCCUCUCCAAUCCCCUUGAUCUUCAAAAACCUCUAAUAAAACCGAACUAGUAACCUUGCAAAGAGCUUGAAGCUAGCUCUUCGAUCCAAAAACCCCCCCCAAAAUUUAUUCUCCCCCUAACCUUAUCCUCUGAAUUUCUUCAAUCUUCCGUCUUGGAUCCGAAAUUUACUCCCACCGUCAGAGCUUAGAUCCGAAAUUGGCUCUCGCCCUCAAGGCUUAGAUCCAAAUUUGGUUCUCGCCGUGAGAGCUUUCUCUUCCAUUUUUACCUUUAAGAAAUCUAUUUAUCGAAAACAAUGUUCCCUGAAACGGCACAGAGAAUAGGACAGCUUGAAACAGAAUCGAAACCCCGUACUCGGGUCCACAUUGAGUCGCCCGACCAAUUCAGGUCUCAUAUUGGGUAAGAUGCCCGUAGUAACCUGGAUGUUUGCGUAAUUGGGUCCAAUUGGUCAUCACGUUAGAUUGGCUAAGGCCCGUAGUAAGACCUAGAUUUUCCCGUAAUUAGACUGCAUUGGGUUGCCCGGCCAAUUCAGGUCUCAUAUUGGAUAAGAGGACCCGGAUUGAAUUCUUGAAAUUGGAUCCAAUUGGCUCUUCGAACCAGGCUCACCCGUCGUGUGAAUUGGUCCUUUCUCUUCCUGCUGACUCCCGUUAAUGGAAUCGAACGGAGCAUUUCAGUAUCCCCCGGCUGACUAUAACGGGGUGACUCAACCUGGCCACUCAAUAUUUGCACCGGAGUUGGUUGUUGCUCCCAAUAUUCGAGGUAACUGAACAUUAAUAAAAGUCCCCUUUCUUUAUAUUUUCACGGUAUACUCGUAUUACAACACGACACCAAAGAUUAGCAGUUUGGGUUGUUCGGGGUUCUCUGUAAUGUCUAGAGACCUACCGGCUGGAACAAAAAGGACUUUGGUGAGCAGUCGAAGGGCAUCCGUAUAGAUUUGCGGUGUAUUCUUACAGUUGUUUAUAUUCCAACAGUCAAAAACCGAUAGACUAUUUGAAUAUUAGCAAAUCUCCAUACUACCUUCUACAGCCAGACGCCCGGCGCGUUCUCGAGCAGAAAAGCACGUAAUACGACACCGUGAAGUGUGAUAACGACAUGUUUCAAUGUCGCCAAGACCAACGCUCAAGACAACAUAUGGCUCACCAUAUUCCAACUAUGUCAACAAGCAGCCUAAAUUUACAUACAGAGAUAGAAGAUUUGCAAAUUGACACAGUUUGUGUCAAAUCUCUAACUCUAGAAGAAAAACAGUGAUGUAUGGAGGAAGGACUAUGCUUGUAUUGUACUAAAGAAGGCCAUAGAGCUGGAAACUAUCCCAAGAAGUAAAAUCAAUGCAUUGUCGGGACCAAAUGCUUGUUUGUUCACAAAAACAAAGAUACCCAGCCACAAUAAGGACUGUGCGGGUGGACAAUUCAAUACCACAACAACAAUCAAGUUCCUCUCUUUUCGCUCAGCUUGUCCAUUGCUUUAACAUUCCUUUAUCUUUUGGCCUUUAAAAACUAAAAACCUUAGUGUUAUUAGAUUCAGGAGCAUUUGCUUUCUUUUUAGACAAAGAAUUUAGUAACCAUCAUGAGCUUCUUCUAGUACAAAAAUCUAAACUCGUUCACAUAGAAGUAAUAGAUGGACGACCUUUAUUGUCUGGUAGUAUCACCCAUGAAUCAGAACCUAUAGAGGUGACGUUUAAAGACCAUAGUAGUUAUAUUAUUUUUAAUUUUAUUAGAACCUCGUCAAACCUUGUUAUUCUUGGUCUUUCUUGGUUAAAAAUGCAUAAUCCAUCCAUAGAUUGGAAGUUAUGAAGGAUGACAUUUCCUAUAGAAUAUUUUGAAAGUAAGCCUAUUAAAAGAUUUUGAAUCAAAAAAUCCUUAUUUAUUGGAGCGAGAGUGCUUAUAUUAUCAUCUAAAGAAGGUACACCGUUUUUCAUUUAUGCGACUCCAACUAGAAGAGAGAAGAUUUCAACAACAAAUAUAUUGGAGCAAUAUAAGGAUUUUGAAGAUGUGUUUCAAAAGAAGAAUGCCGACAUGCUACCAGAGCAUCGACCAUACGAUUAAACCAUAGACUUGCAGGAAGGAGCACAACCACUUUUUGGCCCAAUCUACAAUUUGUUGCAGAUGGAGUUAGUGGAGUUACGAAAGUAUAUUGAUGAGAAUCUAUCUAAAAACUUCAUUCAUUAUUCAAAGUCGCCAGAUGGGACACCAAUCUUAUUUGUGAAGAAGAAAGAUGGCUCACUGCGUAUAUGCAUGGAUUAUCGAGGUCUCAACAAGGUAACAAAGAAGAAUCGUUAUCCAUUAUCUUUGAUAUUAGGUCUUCUAGAGUAACUUGGGAGUGCAAGGAUCUUUACAAGGAUUGAUAUAAGAGGAGCUUACAACCUUGUAUGAAUUAAGGAAGGAGAUGAAUAGAAGACAACUUUUCGUACAAGGUAUGGCCAUUUUGAAUAUAAUGUCAUGUCUUUCGGUCUUAUCAAUGCUCCAGUGAUCUUUCAACAUAUGAUGAAUGACAUCUUUCGAGAGCACCUUGAUGAUUUUUUUGUCAUCUAUCUAGAUGAUAUUUUGAUAUUUUUCAAGAAUGUAGAAGAGCAUGAAAAACAUGUUUGUCUGGUCUUUGAAAAACUCCGCGAGCAAGGACUUUACGCCAAGUUAGAGAAGUGCUUGUUUAACCAAAUUGAGAUGGAAUUUUAGGAAUUCAUUACAACUAUGGAAGGCUUGAAGAUGGAUCGUAAGAAGGUGGAAGCAAUCGUAUCAUGGAAAGUUCCAAAGACAAUUAGAGAUGUACAAUGCUUUCUUGGCUUUGCUAACUUAUAUCGGAUCUUCAUCAAGAAUUAUUCUCAAGUUGCUGCUUUGCUCACUCGAUUGACAUGUAAAGACAAGCUCGAAUGGAGACCUCUAGUAAAAAAAGCAUUUCAAGAUCUUAAGACGGUAUUUACUAUGGCUCCAGUCUUGAUACAUCCAGACUUUACAAAGGCCUUCUAUUUGGAGAUCGAUGCUUUAGAUUUUGCUAUGGAAGUUGUACUUUUGCAGAUAGACACAAACGAGAAGCUUCAUCCAGUUGCGUUCUACUAUCAGAAGUUUUCUGCUAUUGAGAUCAACUAUGAAAUCCAUGACAAAGAACUUCUUACGAUAGUAGAUUCUUUUCAAAAGUGGCAUCACUUUUUCAAAAGAGUUGCGCAUCUGGUGACCUUAUAUACGGAUCACAAGAAUUUGGAGUACUUCAUAUUGACUCAGGUUCUGAAUCAACGUCAAGCUCGAUGGAAUAUGUUGCUAUCCAGAUUUGACUUUGUUAUUACUUAUUGGCUUAGAAAGCAACAAGGACUAUCCGAUGCAUUAUUAAAAAGAUCCUAUCUAGCACCAAAGGCUGGAGAAGUAGUUUUUGAUCAAUAGUGUACAACAUUAUUGAAAUUGGAACAAUUUAGGCUUUGCUCUACUAUAGUGCCAAUUGAUGCUGACUUCCUCAACUAUAUACGUACUGCGACUAUUGAAGAUUCUGUAGCCCUCGAUAUCACGCUGUCGUAAUGUAAAAGCUUAUAGUAUGUAAAAAUUAAUUAGAACAUAUAAUAUGUUCAUAAGUCUUUGUGUAUGUUAGAAUGGUUAAAUAGAUUAAUUUAAAGAGAGUGGAUUUAAGAAAUUUUAUUUUGAGUUUAGCUUUUUACUUAUAGCAUUUCAAAAAAAAAUUUAUAGAAUCUGAAUGUUUAGUAUGGAGCCUUGAGAGGAGAUUAGAGCUUAAAGAAGAAAUUCUUAACUAGUAGGAGGCUUAUUGGAAGGAAUGAAACGAAGGCAUGGUUGGAUGAAGGCAAGGAAUGGAAAACUUCAUUCCUAUUGACCGAAGGCCAUGCCCAAUGGAUUUCAAGGAGGCUACCCGAGGCCUUAUUAGGGAUUAGGGUUUUUCUUUCGACAUCAUUCGAGAUUUUGAGGCUAGGAUCAGCAAGUUCAAGGUUUUGGAUAUAAUUUGGGUGAAGAAUUUGUGUGAUUUCGAGUUUUUAUGAAGGAGAUAUAGGUGUUCAAAUUUAAGGUGACAAAUUUGUACCUACUGUCACUCUUUGAAGUAUAACAUAUGCGUACGGAGAGCAAUGAAAUUUCGGCGAUUAAAUUUGGAGAGAGCACUUUCUUGGCUAUACUUUAUAUAUAUUUUUUGACAAAUUCCAAGUCUGGAUAAAGGAGUUAUAGGGCAUUGAAGACAGCACAUGUAAUUCAAAGGCAGUAAGUGAGUCAUUUUAUUGAUAGUAAUGUUUGGAGCCAUAUCUUGAGUUCUUGGAUGAAUUUUUGGCUCAAAAUUUCCAUAAGUGUGAAUUAUUAAGUCAAGAAGCUAUAGAUCAAAGUUUCAUGGUAUUUAAGUACUUAUUUUGUGAGAUAUGAAGAAAUUAGCAUGCAUGUGUAAGUAAGCUGGGGUUUAUACCUAUUAUAAGGGUUUUGACAAUAUCUCAAGAUCUGUAACGAAUUUGUAGUUGAAUUUUUUUGUGAAAGUUUUUGAAAGUAUAUCAAUACUUCAUGUAAAAUUUAAGGUUUUUUGGAUAGUCCAAUCAUGAGAUAUAAGCUGUUGAAGUUCGAAAAACAUCUCUCACAAGGAUAUAUAAGGUUUUAAGUUCUUUAUCAUACAUUUGGGUGUUUUCUUGGUACUUGGGCUUGUGUUUUGAUGUAAUUGCCCCAAAAGAGAAAAUGUUACAUGUAUAAACUUGGUUUUUUAUAUCUUAGACUUAAUUGAGUAUUUAGUGGCAGCUAGAAGUUCAACGCUUUCUUGAAGCAAACUCUCUCUACUCCCACAAUGCAACAAAUCAAUAAUGACAAGUUCAAGGUGGAAGGAGAUCUUUUAUACUUUGAGGAGCAGUUGUAUAUUCCAAAGGGACCAGCACGACUCCAAGUUCUUCAAUCUCGACACAACUUUCUAACUGAUGGAUAUUUUGGAUUCAAUAAGACCUUGGAAUUUAUUUCUCGAGAUUUUUGGUGGUCCCAAAUGUGGAAAGAUGUCAAGGAUUUUGUCUUCUCCUGUGAUGUUUGUUCAAGAUUCAAGAAUGCUCGGCAUCAUCCUUAUGGUCUUCUUCAGCCAUUGCCUAUUCCAUGUUGGUCAUGGUCUUCAGUUUCCAUGGACUUCAUUAUGGACCUACCGCCAUCAAAUUCAUUUGACAAUAUCUUUGUUGCUGUAGAUUAGCUUACAAAGAUGGCACACUUUGUCCCUUACAAGAAAACAUCAUCAAGCAAAGACACAGUAAGGCUCUUCUUUGAUAGUAUGUAUAGAUAUCAUGGUUUACCACAUGAAAUCAUGUCGGAUCGAGGAACCCAAUUCAUAUCAAAGUUUUGGAGAUCUCUCUUUGAGAUAUUGAAGGUAGAUAUCAACCUUUCUUCGGCUUUCCAUCUUCAAACUGACGGCCAAAUGGAACGGGUGAAUCAAAUUUUGGAAUAGUAUUUAUGAUGCAGCAUCAAUUAUCAAUAAGAUGAUUGGACUACAUAUCUAUUGUUAGUCGAGUUUGUAUAUAACAACACCUUUCAUGCAUCCACUCAACAAACACCAUUCUUUUUCAACUAUGGGUAUCAUCCAAAGCUUGAUUUGUUGAGUCCGUCAACCAAUAACAACUUGACAGCUAAAAGAUUUGUGAAACAAUUAUCGAAGCUUCAAACUACAUUGAAGCUUCAAUUGCAAACCCUCGAAGAAGCUUAAAAGGCAUCUAUAGAUAAAUUUUGAAAUCAGACACCUACUUUCAAAAUUGAAGAUAAAAUAUGGUUGCUUUGAUGAAAUAUCAAAACCAAGUGACUAUGUGAUAAGUUGGACUACUAGAGAUUGGGAUCAUUUGUCAUCCAGAAGCAAAUUAAUCUAGUGGCGUACCAUCUAGGAUUACCGGCUGCUAUGAAGGUACAUUCAGUCUUUCAUGUUUCUUUAUUGGCAUCUUAUUGAGAGUCGUCUUAUUCUAAAAGAGUGCAAUGUCUGCCACCUAGUAUUGAAAUUGAAAAUCACAAGGAAUACAAGGUGGAAAAGGUACUAGAUUUGUGGCACAAGUGGAAAAAAUUGGAAUAUCUAGUGCAUUAGAGCGGCUAUGAUAUCAAUGAGCACACAUAGAAACCAGUGAAAAAUCUUAUCAAUGCAUUACAAAAGGUAUAGGAGUUUCAUUGAUACUAUCCUCAGAAACCUAAGUCCUUUCAAUGAAAGUUUUUCAGUGAAGUUCCAUCUCCUUGAAGCCUCUUAAUCCUCGACCUUAUCAAGAAGGGGGAGAAGGAACCUCUAAAAGACAUAGUUAGAGACUAUAAAUCUGUAACUUGAGCCCAUUCUUCCAUGUUUAGUGCUUAUUUUUUUAGUCUAAUAUAGAUAGCCAAGAGAUAGAUACCAUAUUAAUCAUGUCCUCUCAAUUGAGUAUGUCACAAAGACGACCCCGAGAUGAAGAACUGCUUGUACUACGAAGAUGAUAGAGGGUACUUAGUAAUAGGUCACUAGUGAUUGUAUUUGAGGUAGAACCUACCUAUGGUGAUCUUCUCAAAGGAGUGUUUGUAGGGCAUUUUCACAAUGAAGAUACGAAAGUUCAUGCCUGGUCAAAAAUCGAAGGCAUAGGACACUAUUGUUGGUUACAAGGACCAAUGAACUAUUUUUUGUGCUAACAAAAAUUGGAGAAUAUUACAAACACUAUGCGACAAAUUUUUAACUUCUUACAUUGGUACUGACUCGCAAUAGGAGUGCUUCUCGGAGACCUCAAAGCUAAAGGGAAGAGGUGAUGUCAAGGACAUACACUAGGAAGUUGUAGAAGUUUCUAGAGAAGCUUUGUAGUUUGUAGAAGCUACUUGAGAAGUUUUUAGGCUCGUGGAAGUUGCUUGAGAAGCUUCUUAGCUUGUCGAAGUUGCUUGAGAAGCUUUCUAAGUCAUAGAAACUGCUUGAGAAGCUUCCAAGUUUGUGCAAGCUACUUGAGAAGCUUCCUAGCUUGUAGUAUAUAUAGGAGCUAAGACUGAGGAGAUUCUUAGUCUCAAAAAUACACCUCUUGGAGCUCUAGCUCACCUCUCUAGUAUUAUUCUUGUACUCAUCUGAUUAAUCUAGUUCUUGUCGAUUCUUCUUGAGUUUCUUGUUUAGAUUUUCAGUUAGUAUUCUAAAUUCGUGAUAGUCAAUAUAUAAAUUUGAAAUCAAAUCUUCAUAAUGACAUACUCCAAUGGACUUAGCAAUGAUUCAAAAUACGUAACAAUAUGAAAUAUUUGAGGUUCUUGUGAUUUAUAUAUACUAUGAUUGGAUUUGAAGCGCCUUCUAGAUAAUGACACCAUUCUUAAAAUAAAUCCAUAAUUGCAAGAAUUUCUUUAUUAUGGAUCUUAUAGUUAAUCUUGCCUACUGAAAAAUUCUUGGAAUAAAAAGCUAUUGAAUGGAAUUUGUCAUUUGUUUCCAUUUGUGAUAAUACUAUAUCCAAAGUAAAAUUUGAUGCAUCUGUUUCCAUAAAGAAUGCCUUAGAAUGUCAAUGCGAUACAAAAUUGGUGCAGAAGUAAAUUUCUUCUUCAAAGCAACAAACAAUGCUUCAACUUUUUUAUUCUACUUAAGUUUGUCUUUACAAGUCAAAUGUGUAAGUGGAGUUGUAACUUGAGAAAAGUUCUUGAUAAGAUUUGAUAAUAAUUGGCAAAGCUCAAAAAGCAUUGCACAUCUCUUAUUGUUCUUGGAAACUUCCAAUCUAUGAUAGUUUGGACCUUCUUUACAUCUAUCAUAAGGCCUUCAUUGGAAAUGAUGUAUUCCAAAAAAUCAACUUGAGUAGUAUGGAAUACACACUUUUCCAUCUUUGCAUAUAAUCUUGUAUCUCUUAGUUUUUGUAACACACGACAAAUAUGAACUUCAUGCUCUUUUGUGUUCUAAGAAUAGAUUAAAAUAUCAUUCAAAUAAUAGAUGAUAAAAUCUUUAAGAAACUCAUGAAAGACAUCAUUCAUUAGAUGUUAAAAAAUAGCUGAUGCAUUUGUGAGUCCAAAAAGCAUGAUAUUAUAAUCAAAAUGUUCCUACUUAGUUUGGAAAGCAGUCUUCUAUUCAUCUCCUUCUUUGAUGUGGAUCAAGUUAUAUGCUCCUCGUAGAUCUAUUUUUGUAUAGAUAUUUGCUUGAUUUAAUUGAUAAAAAAGUCCUAAAAUUAUUAUAUUUUUUGUGUAUAAUUUGGCAAUUAAGACUAUCUAGAUAAAUAAUUUUAUUGGAAAUACAAUAAUUACUCUUGAAACACAAGAUUCUAAUCAUUUUUAUAAUUAAUAAUUAUAGUGAUAAUAAUAGUUAUUAUUUUUAACACAAUUAUUAUAAAAUGAUUUUUUCUUAUUUUUAUUGUCAUUCAAUAAAUUUCAUUCUUUUCUAUAAUUUAGAAAUAAUUGAUUUCUUUUAAAAGAAUCCAAAAUGAACUUGGUUUUUUCUUUAUUAAUAAUAAUUGAUUUUUCCAAACAAACAAGGAAUUACUUUGACUUCCUCUAAAUUGUCAUCUUUUAUGUUGUUCUAAUCUUGUCAUACAGAUGAUAUCCAUGGAAAAUUUGAUCUAAAAUCAUGGAAGUGGCUCCACUUCUUCAAGUCAAAAUAUAAUCAAAACAUAAUAUAAUAUAUUCUUGAAAAUAAUUUAAGGCUAGCACAAAUGUUGUUAUGAAAAUAAAUCUAAACAGAUACUUUUACGAGUAAAACAAACACCAUAAGAAAUAAGAAAAUAUAUCCAACUAAAGUAGUAUUCAAACAAAACAAGAACAAACAAACAAACAAACAAACAAAAUGUAUACAAUACAAGAGAAACCAAGAUCAUAAGAUAACUCUCAGCAAAUUCAAAAGAAAAAGACUGCUCUGUAACAAAUAUUAAGGUGAAUUACAAUCAGAUCGAACAAAAAUAUUAAAAAGAAAAUCAUGUUAACAAUUUACUCGGUUUGGGUUACAUGAAGAUUGGAAGAACAUCUUCAAAUCCCAGCAUGCACCGGCAAAAAUUCUAAACUCUUCUACCAACCAGUAAAAAAAUAAAAAUAAAAAACAACCUCAGUUUGAUUUGGCGAUACACUAUUCAUUUCAACUAAUACUUUCACUUUAAUUCCGUUGCUUUACAACCACAUUCUUUCGCAUUCCAGGGCCAAAAUAUCCCCCCCCCCAAUCCAGUCACAGCUCCACAUCACCUCAAGGACCAGAACAACUCUGAGAAAACAAAGCACCUUCACAUUCUACGCGAAAGGGAGCAAACAUAAAACAGGCACGUGCGUGCAAUUGGAAUGGGGCCGAGACUACGCCCCUUGCACAAGAAGCAUGAAUAAGAAUACCAACUGUGCAUCCAGAAAAUCCCAGAACCCAUUAGAAACGAAACACAGACAGAGAUGAGGAGACCGGAAGCUGAAAUGAAAAAGACGGCGGGCCCAGCUUGGAUGUGACCACUCACCAACCAAAGCAUAUGCCGCACAUUCAAGGCAGGGCAGCUCGGGGGCUGGGAGGGAGGCAGCUUGUGAAAGGAGACCCGGUCCAAGGAAUGCGUGACGCAGUAAUACCGCCACGGAUCGAGGAUACCGCCAACUCUGUGAUUGGGCGCCCCCACCUCACCCCCGGCUUCCCCGGCUCCUUCCUGGUCCUGAACCCGACCCGACCCGGCCCGCUGCGCCCCCACCCUGCCCCCACGGAUGGCUAUGCCAUGCCCUCUCUAGAACUGGGGUGCCACUAAGUUACUGGUGCUGGUGGAAGUGCCAUCAUCCAUCGUCAUGGCCAUCAUCCAUCGUUAUGGCCAUCAUCCAUCGUCCUUCCUACCUUCCUAUGUACCGUGCCCCCCUAGCCUUGAAGGGCAAGCUAACAACCUCAGCGAUUCAUCCCCCCCCCCCCCUUUGGUCAAUGGAGCGCCCUUGACCGCAAACAAGCAAAAUCCAGACAGACAGGCUCCCGUCCGGACUCUCUCUCUCCUCUAUAAGAACCCCGUGGCGGUAGAGCGCUGCAGUCAUCCGAUUGAUUCUCCUGCUCCUCCACCUCCUUCACCCAACAAGUGUUGUGUUGCUCGCGGAGUGACUAGCUUACCGUUCUUUCAUUCUCUCUUGCGCGGAUCGUUUGGUUGCAUUCAUUCGUCGAUCGCAGGCUCAGAGUCCGAAUUCCAACAAUGGCAGCGGGUCACGGUGUUUCUGUGCAGAGGAUGGGCAGGUCGCGGAGGGCUGCCCCCAGACGAGGCCAGGUGAAGGCUGCCAUAGCCCUCUCCCUGCUGCAUUCCCUUUCGUCCGCUGUCCUGAGGACUCGCUCCGCGGUGUCCCGCUCCCGCCGGCCGUUCUCGUGGCACAGCAGCUGAGGCGCGGGCGAGGCGACCCGUGCGUGGUCGCGCUGAGCGAUGGUAAUUGGAAUUUGAAUGGAACGGCCACACCACAGGUAUGGCGAUCGCGGGGCGCUUCUCCGGCAGAGCGCACCCGAAAUGGGGACCCCGCCGCCUGUCGCGGCGCCAGCUCCAGCGCGUCGUGUUUCACGUCAUGUUUACACGUCGAGGUUUGCUCGGAACAGGAUGCGCGACGAGUCCGAGCGUCCGUCGGACGGGGUUCGAUACAUUUUUCGUAGGCAUUCGAUGCAGGGAAGAGGGGAUUGGGGAUUGGUUGAUUGAGAACCAAGGAAGCGUGGUGCGCGACCCCAUGAGCAGGAGUACGUCCCGAUGAUGGGGGUGGGAGGGCCCCGGGAGGGGCUUCACUGUCGACUCGACGGUCGCCUUGUGUGCGUCACGCUUGCCGUGCUAGGUGUUUAGACAUCAUUGCUUGGCAUCAUCGUGCCAAGUUCGUGAGCAUGAUCGACCCGCAGUCGAUCAUUGAGUGUGCCAUACGCUGUACAUUGCUGUACGUAUUUUUGUGAAAUGAAAACACGGUCCGGGAUUUGAAUGCAAGAGACUUGGGUAUGGAUGAGGCAUAUUCCUGGUGUAUUGGAGUUUGAUGGUGGUUGCAGUAUUGGAGUCCGAUGUGCUGUGUCUUGCAUGAUCCGGGUCCCAUAUGGACAAGCACACUGCAUGUGGAUGGCAAGUCCGGUGUAAGGAGUCGCAUUGGAGUGAGGAAAAUUAUAGACGUUUUUUUAGAGAGGUGGUAUUUCACCUAGAUCUUGACGAGUUUGUACAUGUUGUCAAUUUUAAUGUAUGUCUUGUUAAGUUCUGGUUACAUAUUAUUAGGCGGGUUGAUUUUGUUUGAGAUUUACCGUGUUUUGUGACAUUUGUACUGUUCAGUACUUUUGUAUAUGAGAUUAAAUGCUGUUCAGUGGGAGUGAUAGAGGAUUUAGUUAUUGUUUUUGGAAAUUUAAUUUGUAUCUCUAAGGAACGUCGUUUGGUGAUUUUGCUUAGACUCCAAUUCUGCCUCGAUGAAAACUUCAAAAAAGGAAAGGAAAAAAUUAUCUGUUUUUAUUUGUGGUUGAAGUCGAGAUUCUUGCAUCAGGAAAUGCUUCUGACAUCUCUUUGGAAUCCACUUGUCGUGUUUUCCUAGUUUCGCCGUGCACCGCAGUCCCUCGAUUGCAAGCGAUUCUUAAUUUGGAGCGCCAUUCUGGCACAAUUCCAGUCCAGCAGAGCUCUGCCGGGAAGCCGAACACCCCUUCCAACCAUAUCUUAAGAUCAAAUACCCCUUGCGCACCAUCUGCCUCACUCCUUCAUUUUAGAAUGUAACCUUCGACCCCAAGUUUCACUCGAACCACACCCCGUGGUUAUUUACGUAAUGCAAACAGUGUGCUCUGUAUCUUUUGCUUCACAAAUCAACUAAUUACUUCACACCAAUACAAAUUGAUAUUUCGGCUACAUGUGUUGGAAAUUUGACACAAUGUUCAUAAGAAUAAUAUAUUUUGUUACAAUGAUACAAUCUUAUCAUGACCGA
This 40970-nucleotide long non-coding RNA is filed under the name Physcomitrium patens. Its description in RNAcentral is "long non-coding RNA (PPAT_LNC003547)". The record is from RNAcentral. Lineage: Eukaryota; Viridiplantae; Streptophyta; Bryopsida; Funariales; Funariaceae.